Cinara cedri is the source of this 112-nucleotide non-coding RNA. NCBI's taxonomy places the organism in Eukaryota, Metazoa, Arthropoda, Insecta, Hemiptera, Aphididae. The record is from the annotation of a GenBank genome assembly.
UUUCGUACAGUAGAACCGAUUUUGUGAUGUUAAUUGUAAUGUUUAUUAUCUUAAAGUUUGAUUGUUGACCAAUUAAAACUAACAGCACAAAAUCGGUUUUAGUAAGCGAAAA